This 332-nucleotide unclassified non-coding RNA is filed under the name Hevea brasiliensis (rubber tree). The record is from RNAcentral. Lineage: Eukaryota; Viridiplantae; Streptophyta; Magnoliopsida; Malpighiales; Euphorbiaceae.
GUGAGUAUGUUUGUCUUUCUUAAGAUUUAGUUACUAACUGGGAAGAUGAUUAUUUAUAAGAUGCUACUUUCCUAUAAUAUAAAUAAAUUUAUUGACGCUAUAACUAUGACAAUGUGAAACGUGUUAUUAUUCAAUCUAUCACAGCCCCUGCAAUACCUAGGUAAACAACUCUUUCAAUAUGUAUUGAAUGAAAGUUGUUACCAUCUCUGGUAGCACUAGUGAUGUUCACAACUUAUGAUUUUUAUUUUCUGAUCUCUGUAUCUGUAUUGUUUGUUUCUCUGUUUCUUCAAAUACAUGCACAUUAAUUCUUCCUACGGCAUAAUUUGUUUUUG